GCCGCUGUAGCUCAGUUGGUAGAGCAAGGGACUGAAAAUCCCUGUGUCAACAGUUCGAUUCUGUUCGGCGGCA
RNAcentral lists this transfer RNA (73 nucleotides) under Spirochaetaceae bacterium. Its description in RNAcentral is "tRNA-Phe". It matches the Rfam family "tRNA". Rfam says of the family: Transfer RNA (tRNA) molecules are approximately 80 nucleotides in length. Their secondary structure includes four short double-helical elements and three loops (D, anti-codon, and T loops). Further hydrogen bonds mediate the characteristic L-shaped molecular structure. tRNAs have two regions of fundamental functional importance: the anti-codon, which is responsible for specific mRNA codon recognition, and the 3' end, to which the tRNAs corresponding amino acid is attached (by aminoacyl-tRNA synthetases). tRNAs cope with the degeneracy of the genetic code in two manners: having more than one tRNA (with a specific anti-codon) for a particular amino acid; and 'wobble' base-pairing, i.e. permitting non-standard base-pairing at the 3rd anti-codon position. RNAcentral also lists the same sequence under 1 other name. Lineage: Bacteria; Pseudomonadati; Spirochaetota; Spirochaetia; Spirochaetales; Spirochaetaceae. The record is from RNAcentral.